This is a small nucleolar RNA of Meriones unguiculatus (Mongolian gerbil), 70 nucleotides long. NCBI's taxonomy places the organism in Eukaryota, Metazoa, Chordata, Mammalia, Rodentia, Muridae. The record is from Ensembl.
GAGCAAUGAUGAAAAGGUUUUAGUACUGAAUUUUGUCACUAUGAAGGUUUCUACACUUGACCUGAGCUCA